UUUCCGUAGGUGAACCUGCGGAAGGAUCAUUAUCGAGUUUUGACUGGGUUGUAGCUGUCCUUACGAGGCAUUUGCACGCCCUGCUCAUCCACUCUACACCUGUGCACUUACUGUGGGUAUCAGAUCGUGAAGUGUGCUCUUUUACCGGAGCUUGUGAAGCGUGUCUGUGCCUGCGUUUAUCACAAACACUAUAAAGUAUCAGAAUGUGUAUUACGAUGUAACGCAUCUAUAUACAACUUUCAGCAACGGAUCUCUUGGCUCUC
Molecule: unclassified non-coding RNA, 263 nt
Filed under: plant metagenome
Description: partial contains small subunit ribosomal RNA, internal transcribed spacer 1, and 5.8S ribosomal RNA
Source: RNAcentral